AGUGAACGCUGGCGGUAGGCCUAACACAUGCAAGUCGAACGGCAGCACAGUAAGAGCUUGCUCUUACGGGUGGCGAGUGGCGGACGGGUGAGGAAUACAUAGGAAUCUACUUUUUCGUGGGGGAUAACGUAGGGAAACUUCCGCUAAUACCGCAUACGACCUACGGCUGAAAGCAGGGGAUCUUCGGACCUUGCGCGUUUGAAUGAGCCGAUUUCGGAUUAGCUAGUUGGCGGGGUAAAGGCCCACCAAGGCGACGCUCCGUAGCUGGUCUGAGAGGAUGUUCAGCACAAUUGGAACUGAGCCAGGGUCCAGACCCCUACGGGAGGCAGCGGUGGGGAAUAUUGGCAAAGGGGCGCAAGCCUGCUCCAGCAAGACGGCGUGGGUGAAGAAGGCCUCCGGGUUGUAAAGCCCUUUUGUUGGGAAAGAAAAGCAGCAGGUUAAUACCCCGCUGUUCUGACGGUACCAAAAGAAUAAGCACCGGCUAACUUCGU
Molecule: ribosomal RNA, 491 nt
Filed under: uncultured bacterium
Lineage: Bacteria
Description: partial 16S ribosomal RNA
Rfam family: Bacterial small subunit ribosomal RNA
Source: RNAcentral